This 971-nucleotide long non-coding RNA is filed under the name Homo sapiens (human). Its description in RNAcentral is "HSALNT0369909". The record is from RNAcentral. Lineage: Eukaryota; Metazoa; Chordata; Mammalia; Primates; Hominidae.
CUUCCAAAGUGCUUGGAUUACAGGUGUGAGCUACCGCACCCUAUCAAGUUUCUCUUGAUCCAGAAAUUCCAAGCUUACACUUUUGGUGACUGAGGAUCACUAAGACAAAAGGCAUGAACGGAAUCAACUGGUCUUGAGGUUCUGCAUGGAACUCUGGUAUAAAGCAGUUUUGGGGUCAGAACCAACAGAUCUCUAAUAUUCUUUGGUCUGAAAACUGGCAGCAGCUGGUGAUCCAGAGGUCUCAUGGCAGAAUGAAGGAAUUUACCAAAGCCAAGCCCUUUGACUCUGGGCCUAUCUAUUUCUUUGAUCAGUUGAAACCUGAACGGAAAGAUGGGAAAAGAUAACCUGUGAAGAAAGUUAUCCCACCCAAAAUGCACCUCAAGAGCUAAGUGUUGGAUCUUUCAACAUCCUUACUCAAAAUGGGAAAUUCUGAAGUGGAAGACAGUCCCCAGUAUAGCUGUGAAGAGACUACAAGUAGCCAUAAUUCAAAUCAAAAUAGAAGAAGCAAAGCAAAAAAAAGAGGGCGUCAACAAACAACUUAUCCGGCGCCGCUAUGAGGACCUGGAAGGCGUGGAGGAGAGCAGGGAUCAGCAGUGCUCACAGAGUUUCUGGCUGGAGCUGCUGGAGAAGAAGCCUCAGAUGCCAAUUGUCAAAAAGGCUGACCCCAACAUGAAAAAAUUCCAUUACGCUCUGGUGGAUGGCUCCUCUCUGACCUAAUAUCCUUGUGAAAAUCCCAGGCGGGAAGGAGGAUGAAGGGGGCAGGUCGUGAUGGAAGGGGCUGACAGCUGGGGGUUUCCAUUUCAGCAGAAAAAACCCAGGAAGGAUUGGGAAAAGAGGUCUCAGACCUUGAGUUUGUUAAUCCCUUUUUACCAAUGGUCCACAUCCCCACAAUCUGGGGGCAAGAGAAAUCAACCCAAAAAAGAAGUUGGGGCAAGUUCCUCACUUUACAACCUUCUUUUUUUAUUUUUAUU